CAGUAGCCACGGUAAUACGUAGGGUGCGAGCGUUAAUCGGAAUUACUGGGCGUAAAGCGUGCGUAGGCGGUGAGUUAAGUCUGCUGUGAAAUCCCCGGGCUCAACUCCAGAAUUGCCUUUAAGACUGCCGAGCUAGCAGGUGAGAGAGGUAAGUGGAAUUCCGAGUGUAGAGGUGAAAUUCGUAGAUAUUCGAAAGAACACCAGUGGCGAAGGCGGCUUACUGGCUCAUACUGGACGCUGAGGUGCGAAAGCGUGGGGAGCAAACAGGAUUAGAUACCCCAGUAGUCCCUGUCUCUUAUAC
RNAcentral lists this ribosomal RNA (301 nucleotides) under uncultured bacterium. RNAcentral describes it as "partial 16S ribosomal RNA". It matches the Rfam family "Bacterial small subunit ribosomal RNA", at positions 509 to 807 of the family's 1533-position model. The record is from RNAcentral.